Molecule: long non-coding RNA, 750 nt
Organism: Gossypium arboreum
Lineage: Eukaryota; Viridiplantae; Streptophyta; Magnoliopsida; Malvales; Malvaceae
Exons: 3
Source: RefSeq, a predicted model, not a curated record
UAUAAAUGUGGUAGGGUGCUAUUUAGACUGCUUAAUUUACAAGCUUCAUCUCCCAGGAUGUUGUGAAGCUCUCAGGUCCAAAGUCUCGUGAAGCCAAGAUAAGCAUGCUUGAUCAUGCCAAUGCCCAGUUGCUGGAACUUGAAUUAUGCUAGUGGCUCUGGUACCUCACCGCGAGGCAAUUAGUUUGCUCAUUACAUUGUUGCAAAAACCUAAUGACAGUUGUCUAGUUCCUGUUGUUUGGUUAUAAAUUCAUAAUAUGGAGGGGCUAGAAUAAAAAUGAGAGCAGGUGAGAUGCACAUCCAAGAUUACAGAUAUUUCAUGCACUAGAAAGAGAUUAUUGAGCAACUACCUUACAGCUUUCUGUCUCCCUUAGAGCGGAAGCAGCAGCUCUUUUGUUACGGACCCUGAUACAACGAAUUCUAAAUUCACGUCAGCUUUGAAUUCAUCAUAUUACAACGAUUCAUUCAUAGAACAAAAUUUCAAUGGCAAAAAGAGAUCACCUGCGAAGGAAAAAAGCCUUUAGCUGUAUCAAAUCCUCAAUUUUUCGAUGGCGAAAGCUAAAUUCCAGAAAACCCAAUCACCAGAUUUCCAGCAUGAAGCAGUCGAUCCUUGGUUUCACUAUCCAUACAAAAAAAAAAAGAAAAAAAAAGAUGAUGAUCUAGAAAGAAGAAAACAGUUAACCUUUACCAAUAGAGAACAAGAUUGAAAAUGUAAAUAAAAUUGGGUCAAGAUGAAGAACCAACCUGCGAG